This 360-nucleotide ribosomal RNA is filed under the name uncultured bacterium. Its description in RNAcentral is "bacterial SSU rRNA". It matches the Rfam family "Bacterial small subunit ribosomal RNA", at positions 28 to 355 of the family's 1533-position model. The record is from RNAcentral.
GAUGAACGCUGGCGGCGUGCUUAACACAUGCAAGUCGAACGAAGAUGCCAUAGUAGAAGCAAUUAGCUUGCUAAGAGUGGACACAGUGGGAUCUUAGUGGCGGACGGGUGAGUAACGCGUGGGUAACCUGCCGUAUACAGGGGGAUAACACCUGGAAACAGGUGCUAAUACCGCAUAAGCGCACGAUGUCGCAUGACAACGUGUGAAAAGCCGAGACGGUAUACGAUGGACCCGCGUCUGAUUAGCUAGUUGGUGAGGUAGAGGCUCACCAAGGCGACGAUCAGUAGCCGGCCUGGAGAGGGUGAACGGCCACAUUGGGACUGGAGACACGGGCCCAAACUCCGUACGGGAGCAGCAGGU